RNAcentral lists this transfer RNA (68 nucleotides) under Marmota marmota marmota (Alpine marmot). It matches the Rfam family "tRNA". Rfam says of the family: Transfer RNA (tRNA) molecules are approximately 80 nucleotides in length. Their secondary structure includes four short double-helical elements and three loops (D, anti-codon, and T loops). The record is from Rfam by way of RNAcentral. RNAcentral also lists the same sequence under 1 other name. Lineage: Eukaryota; Metazoa; Chordata; Mammalia; Rodentia; Sciuridae.
GUGGUGGCUCAGCGGUAGAGCGCUCGCCUAGCACGCAUGAGGCACUGGGUUCGAUCCUCAGCACCACA